UGGGGAAUAUUGGACAAUGGGCGCAAGCCUGAUCCAGCCAUGCCGCGUGAGUGAUGAAGGCCCUAGGGUUGUAAAGCUCUUUCACCGGUGGAGAUAAUGACGGUAACCGGAGAAGAAGCCCCGGCUAACUUCGUGCCAGCAGCCGCGGUAAUACGAAGGGGGCUAGCGUUGUUCGGAUUUACUGGGCGUAAAGCGCACGUAGGCGGACUUUUAAGUCAGGGGUGAAAUCCCGGGGCUCAACCCCGGAACUGCCUUUGAUACUGGAAGUCUUGAGUAUGGUAGAGGUGAGUGGAAUUCCGAGUGUAGAGGUGAAAUUCGUAGAUAUUCGGAGGAACACCAGUGGCGAAGGCGGCUCACUGGACCAUUACUGACGCUGAGGUGCGAAAGCGUGGGGAGCAAACAGG
This 404-nucleotide ribosomal RNA is filed under the name Pseudomonas sp. RNAcentral's name for it is "partial 16S ribosomal RNA". It matches the Rfam family "Bacterial small subunit ribosomal RNA", at positions 355 to 776 of the family's 1533-position model. The record is from RNAcentral. RNAcentral also lists the same sequence under 3 other names. Lineage: Bacteria; Pseudomonadati; Pseudomonadota; Gammaproteobacteria; Pseudomonadales; Pseudomonadaceae.